UUGACCCAAACACUCCCAUAGUCUUCAAUCCCAUGCCACACUCCUAUCUUUUUACAGGUGAUCAAGGCUACUGAAGGGGUAUUUGAGUUCAUUUAUCUGACUUCUAAGGACAACAGUGUUUACAUUCAGAAGUGGACACCUCGGAAGAAAUUCUUCAUCUAGGGUGAGUUGAUCACUCUCCAGACUCCUACCCCUAACCCUUGGCAUGUGUUCCUCCAAAGCGGACCAUUCAUCUUCCCAGGCUAAGAGGUCACCCUCUCUGCACAUUAUUCUUCAUGAGGCACCCAGGACACUGCACUCCCAGGACUGGUCAACCAUGCCCCAUUCUAUACCUGCCCCAGGGUCCCCUGAGCCUCUGGAAUAGACUAUUUGUGGACCACAGUGUGUUCUUUUCUGUGGAUACCUGCAUGCACUUAGGUCACCCUCAGGCUCUGACUUCUUUUCCCAUGAGUGCUUCUGAAUCAUAAGAAAUUAAAACUGAAGGCAAGCCACAGGAAUUACUAGGGAGAAGAUUUUUAGUUGGAAGCGGUAACAAGGCAAACCAUAGAUCUACAAAAGAGGAGGCAGCUAUGUUAUUUAUUUAUUUAUUUAUUUAUUAAAGUUUAUUUUUACUUAUUUCGAGAGAGAGAGAUGGAGAGCAAGCGGGGGAGGGGCAGAGAGAGAAGGAGACAGAAUCCCAAGCAAGCUCCAUGCUAUCAGCACAGAGGGCUCGAACUCACAAACCGUGAGAUCAUGACCUGAGCUGAAAUCAGGAGUCGGAUGCUUAACCGACUGAGCCACCGGAUGCCCCGCAACUAUGCUAUUUUAGACUAUAUUGGGAACAUUUUGACUAUUAUUUAACAUGGUUCCUUUUAAAAUCUUCCCUUUUAGUAAGUGGCCCACCCAUUUGGUUUGGGAACACACACUCUGGCCUACUGCCAUGGGCUGUAGUUCAGCUAUGAACUUAGCUUUCAAAGCCUUUGCAAUGUGAUUCUGACUUCUUUCACUUGUGUGCUACCCAGAGGCCAAUUGUGAAACCUGUUUGGUAUUCUAUACAGUAGUCGAUUUCUCAAACAUUUUGCUGUGUUGGCUCUGGUCAUUUUCAUACAUGCAUCUCUUAGGAGUUUGCCAGGACAUCAUAUACAAAUUUAGUGAAUCCCUUUCUCUGGCUCCAUCGUUUCCAUAAACAAUGCUUAUACGCUCUAGCUGGAAUAGGGUAAAGUGCCAUCUUGUUAUUGAGGGGAAGUAACAAGGGUGUAGGGAUGGAACGCCAAGCUCUAGGAAACAAGAUGACAACAGUCACACACACACUGAGGGGGAAACAGACUUUUUGUCCAGGCAAGUCACUAAGCAAACAAAUAAAAAUGCAGCCACCACAACCACUCACAAGGUGGGAACAGAAUCCAAAGUUGGUACAAUGUACUAUCUAAAUUGCCAAUUUUUCAGUAAUACACGCAAUGAAAUAGGAAAGUAUGCCUUUUACACAGGAAAAAAAUCUGUCAGCAGGCAUACUGAGGGGGCUGAGAUGUUGGACUGAGCAGAAAAGGACUUCAAAACAGGUAUUAUAAAUAUGUGAUUAAAAUGAAAAGAAAGCAUAGGUAAAGAUAAUUACAUGACUCGUAAAAUAGAUGAUAUGAAUACACGAGUUGAAGUUAUGAAUACAAACCAAUGAGAAUAUCAGGAGUUUUAAAAGUAUAAUAACUCAUACGGAUAAGAGAGUUUCCAUGACAGGUUUCAGCUAGAAGUAGGAGGAAUCUAUAAAACUGAAGACAGAUCAAUUAAGAGUAUCCAGUUGAUGGACAGAAAAAUAAAAGAAUGAAGUACAAUGAACAAAUCUUAAGAUACCCUUGGGGAGCCAUUAAAUAUAUUGCCUUAAACACAUAACCUUAGUUCUAGAAAGAGAACAAAGAAAUAGGCAGAAAAAUUUAAUGGCUGAAAGCUCCUCAAAUUUGAGGAAAUGUAUUCAUGUGUGCACUUAAGAAGGUCAACGAAUCCAUAACAGCUUAGACACAAACAUAUCUGCCCCUGGAAUCUGUGGACUAGAUGCACCUAGUCUAGGUCACUGUUCUACAGCGUCUCCCCUUUGGCCAUCUCAGCUGAGACGCACCACAAAGUUUCGGUAGGGCCUUCAAGCUCCUGGGAGGAUGUACAGUCAACUGUAGAUCAUUUUCAUCUUUUGGGGCAUAACCAUGAGUAAAAUACAGGCUAAUGAUGGGUUCACGGGGCAACUGGAAUAAUUCUUCUUAGUUUCCUUUACAUUGGUCGCUAACUCCACCUGCCCGUGGGCUCCUUUGUUUUAUUUUGUUCAUUCUUUUAGAGACUUUUGAUUCUAUUUGUUUAUUAAUUUUUUUUAAUUUUAGAGAGAUAGAGAGGAGAGGGAGAGAAUCUGAAGCAGGCUUCACGCUUAGCAUGGAGCCCGAUGUGGGGCUGGAUCCCAAGACCCUGGGAUCAUGACCUGAGCGGAAAUCAAGAGUCAGAUGCUCAACCGAGUGAGCCACCCAGCCGCCCCUACAAUUUUGUUUUUUAAAGUAUGACUUUUUAAAUAAACUUUUAGGGGUACCUGGAUGGUUCAGUUGGUGGAGAAUAUGCCUCUUGGUCUUGGGGUUGUAAGUUUGAGCUCUGCGUUGGGUGUGGAGAUUACUUAAAAUCUUUUGAAAAAAUAAAUAAAUGAACUUUUAACUUGGAAUAAUUUUAGACUUACAGAAAAGCUGGAAGUUAAGUAUGGAGGGUUCCUGUGUACCUUUCAUUCAGUUUCUUCAGGGUUAACAUCUUACAUAACCUUGGUGCACCUGUCAAAACAAUGAAAUUAACAUUGGUACAAUACUAUGAGCUAACCUAACUUUAUUCCCAUGUACACAGUCUUGCCACCCAUAGCCUUUUUCACUUCCCUGAUCAGAUCCAGGAGUCUCUAUUUGCCUUCUUUAGCUUUUUACAAUAUGUGACAGUUUUCACUCUUUCCUAGUUUUUCAUGAUCUUGAUAAUUUUGAAGAAUACAAGUCAGGUAUUUUGUAAAAUGUUUCUCACUGUUGGUUUGUAUGAUGUUUUCUCUUGGUUAGAUUUGGAUUAUAGGUUUUUUAGAUGAAUAUAUCACAGAAAUGGAUUGCCCUCUCAUUGCAUCAUAUCAAAUGAUACCACUACGAGUUAUCCCUGGUUAUAUUCACCUCAAUCCCCUGGUUAAGAAGGUGUCUUCCAGGUUUCUCCACUCUAAAGUCACUACUUUUACCUUUUCAUAUGUUAUUUGGAAGUGAGUGAGGCACUGAAUCCAGCCUGCACCCAAAGAGGAGGGAAGUGAAGUUUUGCAGGGGUUUCCACGAUUUGCCCCUUCUCUUCGCUGAUUUCUUUAUUCAAUAUUUUAUUUACAACCAUCUGGUAAAAGAUACUCACUUUAUUCUUUUGGGGUGUCAGCCUAUACGACCAACAUAUAUUUUGGGAAAUUGCCCCAGCUUUAGCCAUUGUGAUGUCCUUCAGAUCCAGUGUACAACAUGAUGAACUUUGGUUAAUAAUACUGUAUUGUAUACUUGAAAUUUGCUGAGAGAGUAGAUAUUAGGUGUUCUCACCACACACACACACACACACACACGCACACAAAGUCACUAAGUGACAGAUUUGUUAAUUUAGCUUGACUCUGGUCAUCAUUUCACAAUGUAUACCACAUAUCAAAUUAUUACAUUAUAUACCUUAAAUAUACAUAGUGUUAAAAUCAAUUGUACCUUAAUGAAGCUAGAAAAAAAAAUCUUUGAUUUAUGGCAUGAGAUGAUGCCCCAGGGCCACUGUGCAUUUUCAUUUCUUCAGCUCUGGAAUCAACUGUUUCUCUAAGGUCCUGCACUCUUAUCACAUCCUAUCAAAUUCUUUCCUAACACAAAGCCUUGUGAGUGUUUCCCAUGAAGUCAAUAACUAAGAGAAAGUCAUAAUACAUCCUAGCCAGGGACAUAUUGAGCCUGCUAGCAAAACAGGGGCAAUAUUUCAAUAGAAUAGUGGAAUCUAGCUGUCAUGUACUCACAAGACCCUGGAGGUGGACAUGGGACAAGAAUCUGUGAUUGGUGGCCAAACGGUAUUGAAGAUUAAAUUUGGAGACAGGACUUAACAUCACCAUGUUGUACACUGGAUCCUGUGAACUUAUUCAUCUCAUUUAAAGUUUGUACCCUUCAGCCAACCUCCUUUCUUUUCCACCCCUCACCCCCACCAGUAACCAUGCCCUGGAAGGAUGUACAGUUUUUAAAUAAGUAAAUAAAAGUUACAGAUAUACCAAAAGGACACGGGAGUCAGUCUGAAGGACAUCACAAUGGCUAAAGCUGGGGCAAUUUGCCCAAAUGGCAGGAACUGAAUUAGAUGGUGGGAACGUGUUUCUAGGAUGGUUUCUAGAAGUGGGGAAUGAUGAAAGCCCUUGGUGGAGAACAGCCAGAAUUGCUACGGCAGAAGUAGGCACAUUCGAGGGGGUAAACUGUGUAAGACCAGGUAGUUUUCUGGCAUCUGAGGGGAGUUAGCAGGCCUGGUAGUGUUUUGAGCCACUCUUACUACUUUUCGGACCUACUCCCUUGUGCUGACUUCCAAGUUAGAUGAAACAGAGAUGAACAACCUCCGUCAGUCCUUCAGAUAAACCACCAGACAGGUUUGAGCACACACACACACACACACACACACGCACACACUAAUUUGCCACUAAGGUCUAUUCUGUUCCUUCCUGAUUCAGGGAGCAGGGUGCCUCUCUGGAAAUGCAGGUUGCUAUUGCUUUAAAACCACCUUAUAGCUGGGAAUGGGGGGAAUAAAGGCAAAUAAAAUCACCACAGAACUUUUCUACUGUGUUGAAGUCAUAUUGUUUUCUUGAUUCAGCAUUUGCUUGGCUGCUGUCAGUUGUUGAUUGUUUCGCAGAGUUCUGAUAAAGUUGGUUCUGACAUUUUCUGCUUGUUUUUUGAUGUGUCUCGGGGGGAGAUGAGAGCUUGCAGCUGCCUACUCGGCCAUUCUGAUGACAUUACUCCUCUGGAUAUUGGUUUUUAAAUACCAUACUCUGAUUUUAAAAAUAUGAGCUUUGCAAACGGGUACAGAAGUCAACCUGAAAUUGCUCCCCAUAGGCAAAGCUAGAACAAUUUGAGCAAAUACAUAAAUAAUAUGAGGACUGGAUUAUAACCCCCAAAACAAAAUAAAUCUCCAUGAGUCCAUAAUAAUGUCAAAUAACUAACCAAAUAAAUAGAUGGGGGUGGGAAAGGGGAGCAGAUCUCCCUUACAGAGCAAUUUGAAUUAAUUCCAAUUACUCUCCCUGCCCUGGAAUGUGGGCUGGACUUAGUGACUCACUUCCAAAUGAAAAGGUAUGGAAGGGGAACAUAAAAAGUGGCUUUACAGUGGAGAGACCUGGUAAGUCGCCACUUCAACCAAGUGAUAAAUGUUAACAUCGCCAGUAUCAUGUGUAUAUAAUGUAUCCCUGAUACGAUCAGAUGAGAAGGGCAAUUCUUCUUUGUGGUAAUUUUCUCCACAAAAACCAUAAUUUCAGUCUAAUAAUAAGAAUACAGGAGACCAACAAAAAUUGGGGGACAUUGUACAAAAUAGGUGAGCAACACUCUUUUAAGUUUUCUAAGUUAACGGAAAACGAAGAAGGAUCAAGAAACUGUCACAGAUCAGAGACUGAGGAGAUACAGUGACUGAGGGCUGUGAUAUUCUGGAUUAGAUUCUUGUAUGGAAAAACCACAUUUGUGGAGAAACUGAUGGAAUCUGAAUAGAGUCUGCCAUUGAGUUAAUAGCAUUGUGUCCAUGUUGAUUUUUUAGUUCUGACUGGCGUCCCCUGGUGAUGUAAGAUGUUCUCAUUAGGGCAAGAACUAGGUGAAGGGUAUGAAAAAAAAUUCUACGUACCAUUUUAGAACCUUUUAUGCAAAUCUAAAUUUAUUCUAUGAUAAAAAAUCAAAUAGAACAAAAAAUAGAGGAUACACUUUUGUGGAAGGACUCUGAACAAGUUUGGAGAUGACAAAUUAUGCUAAAAGGAGAAAUUCAAUCAAUUCUCCAAAACACUAAUUUUUCAGACCUCACUUAUUCUGUAAAUUCUCUACAAUUCUACCCUGGGUCUGCAUCUUGCAGUGUUUUCAUCUUACAGUGUUUAUGGUAUUUGGUUUUAUUUUGGGAAACAUGUUUUAUUUUAAAGUAGUCAGAUUGAUUAAUAAUGGCCUUCACAUUUUGUGCCUUCUGUAUCUUGGAGUCCUAAAGAUAGUCUCCUUUGUGUUAUCAUAAAAGUUUAAAACUUUUGUGUUACAGGAACUAGAAUAUCCUCCCUUUCCUCACCUAAUGAUUCUUGGUUGAGCAAAUUACGUAGGGAAGUUUCAGGAUAUGUCAGCUGGACUUUGACCCCAGGCUUCUCUGGAUCUAUUUCUUUUUUGUAUGCUUUGUUUUACUUUGGAUGGAGUGAGGUGUCUGAUGUUAGAGAACCCCAGACACAAUGGAUCUUUCCUUUCAUUCAAGUUAAUUUUGUGUCUUUUGAGAAUGUUUACAGUUCAUACAUACUUUAGAACUUCUAAUUUGUUGAUAGUUUUUAACCGUUUUGAAAAUUACAUGCACAUUUUAUUGCUAAACCACACUGAAGGUAAAUCACAGAAAUCAAUAUGUUUCACCCCUGAAUACAUGCAUCUCCUAAGAACUAGGAUAUUUUACACAGCCAAGAAACUCACAUGGGCUAGAUAAACUUACCUAAUAUAUAUUAAAUUUUGAAACAUUUUUCAAUCAUUCAACUAACAUAAGGUUCCACAUUCUUGGGCCUCUAGAACCCACAUCAUAGACACCUCUGUCUAAACAUCAUUUAUCCUACAGACUGUGUACCAUAGACAAAAUAGAUUCCACAUCUCAGAUAUUUCAAUAUCCUAUUCUAGACAUUAUUUCUAGAGACUCCAUUGCUAAGUCCAGAAAAAAAAAUCCGUUUCUGGUACCAUUUCAAUCACUCAGGUCUCAGCCACAUUCACUUACCCCAUGGACAUUUGCUACUGAACCCACUGACACUAAUCAUUGACCCCAUACAAGUCCAUCAGUGUCUCCAUAUACCACCAUAAUUAAUCUCCAAAGUCCCAUCACCCAUUUCACAAACUAAAUUCUACAACCCACUGUUCCAGUGAGAUUUGUGGGCAAGUCCCCAGGUGGGGCAAGAAAGAAGAGAGGCACCAAAGACCCCAUCUUUGCUCACAUAAAGAUUGUUGUCCUUCUCAAAAAUGACCAGCAGAUGGCAGAAAAAUCCAUGUUUUGGAUACGUAGACUCCUGUUCCAAACAUUACGGAGCUUUGAGAUAGGGGUUUUUUGUGUGUUUGUUUUCUGUUUUUGUUUGUUUUUGUUUUUGUGUUUGUGUUUGAGACCAGCUAAUCUGCCUGGUGAAUAAUGAGAAUUAAAGAUCAUUGUGAUAUCAGAAAAUUCUCCAUCAAAACAUUUUCUUCUCAGCCCAUUGCAGCCCACCAGUGUCACUGAUAACACUCCAGUGUCACCGAUCCCAAUCUGUACCUAUCUGAAGAUUCUUGUGGUUCAUGUCACCCUUCUCUUCAUUAAAACCCAUUAGGAGGCAAUAACAACAUUGAGAACUAUUUAUGAAAGUCUUGAAUGUAGUAUUUCAUGUUUCCUACUAGAGUUUUUGGCAUUGCCAUAGAGAUUAUUUGUUAAUCCAAAGUGAUGAAUCUGUAAUGGCCAGAGUGGUGUAUAUAACAUAUUUGGAUGAAACUAAGAGUUCAUCUGCCUCUUAAAUUAGGUUGGUGGAGGCUGCCCUAUACUUCUUGUAAUAAUAAUAAGAGCCGAUGUUUGUUCAGCACUUACUAUGUGCUAGGCACCGUACCAACCACUUUACAUAGUAGGCAGAUUGAAUCUUCACAUUAACCCCACAAAGCGAUGACUAUUAAACAUUUUUUACAAAGUAUACAGAUGCCCAGAGAAUUCAAGUAAUGUGUUUCAAGGCCCUACAGUUAGAAAAAUGCUCAGGACCGCAUCUUUGCAUCUAUUCACACCAUAUGCAAUGAAUAAUAUGGUGGUAGCAUUGUUGGGGCUUUAUGGACCCAAAAGAAGUUCUUGUUCUCUUGGCCCUGCAACACAUGUGUUGGAAUCUUCUCAUUACAGGAUCUGGGAACCAGUUUUAGUUGUGUUACCCUGGGUGAGUAUGACCAUUAAUUAGCUCUUCAGGGGGCAUUGUGACAAUAUCUAGGCUGAUGUGAGCAGAAUAUUUUAAACCAGGACUGUCCCACUGGCUCCAGGUUACACGACUCCCUUUAGGGCAGUGGAAUGUUUAUUUUAUUUUAUUUUAUUUUUUAAUUUUUUUUUCAACGUUUAUUUAUUUUUGGGACAGAGAGAGACAGAGCAUGAACGGGGGAGGGGCAGAGAGAGAGGGAGACACAGAACCCGAAGCAGGCUCCAGGCUCCGAGCCAUCAGCCCAGAGCCCGACGCGGGGCUCGAACUCACGGACCGCGAGAUCGUGACCUGAGCUGAAGUCGGACGCUUAACCGACUGCGCCACCCAGGCACCCCGAGGGCAGUGGAACGUUUAAAUCACACAUCCCAGCUGUUGGCAGGGAUCAGUUCAAGUCUGUCUUCUUUUCCUUCAGGCAAAACAUCACUCCAUUCUUCAACUUGCUGUGUUUCUCUGGUGGUAUAGCUUGACGCUCAAGAGCUUUGAGCAGCAGCUCUGUAUCAGCACCCCAGGGCUGUUGUGAGACAUGUGGUGUGCAGUGUCACAGUCCUGUGCCUAGAAAGCAGUUUCCCUACUCAUUGUCCCAUCUCCUACAACGCGCUGCAGUAGUUGGGAUUCUGGGUUGAAAGUAAGAGAAACCAACUCUAAGGCAUUCAUUUAAAAGGGAGUUAAGGGGGGGGCGCCUGGGUGGCUCAGUCGGUUAAGCAUCCGACUUCAGCUCAGGUCAUGAUCUCGUGCUCCGUGAGUUCGAGCCCCGCGUCGGGCUCUGUGCUGACAGCUCAGAGCCUGGAGCCUGUUUCAGAUUCUGUGUCUCCCUCUCUCUCUGACCCUCCCCCGUUCAUGCUCUGUCUCUCUCUGUCUCAAAAAUAAAUAAACGUUAAAAAAAAUAAAAAAAAAUAAAUAAAAGGGAGUUAAGAAAGGAUUGCUCAUCUUUCUCUAUCAGGAACUUCUCCCUCACCCACAUGGCUCUUUUGGUCAUGACCAUCUUUCCCUGGACACAGAGUAGAAGGCUUGGGUCAACCCAGUCCAAUCAGAGUACCCCAGCUCAGACCACACUUAUUGGGGAAUGAAGGGUACACGGCCCAAUGAGAGUUCUCCUUGGAUUUUUAUGCCCGAGAAGAGAAAAAGCUGGUUAUUUUCUGUGGGGUUUCUGAGUUGGCAGAUGAGAACCUGUCUGAGGAAGGAGGCCAGAAGAGUCUCGCAGAUUCAUGAGGGGGAGAGACGGACUAAAAGUCCUACGGGUAUUGAGUCCUAGCAUCAAGCUAGGCCUGAAGCCAGGGGCAGUUCUUUAUUUCCUAAUUUGGAGAGCUCAUAGAUCUCCCUCUUAUGCUGAAGUGACUUUGAGCUAGUUUUCUGUCACUUAUAACCUAACGUACUGGUUUGUAUGCCUCAAUCCACAACGGGCUCUGUGGGUUCCUUCAGGCCCUAUUUAAUCAUUUCCUUAAUGGAUGAUUAUUUUAUUUGUAAGAUCUUUAUUUUUUUAAGUUUAUUUGUUUAUUUGAGAGAGAGAGAGUGCAAGUAGGGGAGGGGAAGAGAGAGAGAGAGAGAGAGAGAGAGAGAGAGAAUCCUAAGCAGGCUCCGUGCUGUCAGUGAACUGUGAGAUUGUGACCUGAGCCAAACCCAAGAGUUGGAGGCUUAAGCAACUGAGCCACCUAUAAAGAUUUUUAAAGGAGAGCAUCUCACUAAUCAGCAACAGAGCCCUAGAAUGUCACCAUUCAUCAUCCUUCAAAGUAGCCUCAAUAUCUGGUGCUGGCUUUGGCAUCAUCUGGUGUCACAUUAUAAAUGAAUUCAUAGGUUUAGGGAUAUUAUCUUGUUAUUGUCUGUUUUCUCUUGGUGAAAAUCAUUAAGGUCAAAAUCAUUAAGUAAUUUUUGUAAAGGCAAAUUGCUGAACUUGAGGAGAAAAUCCACUAAAACUUUUCAACUUUAAUAUUAGGCAUUCCUAAAACCUAAAUAUGGAACCAGGGGAUACUUACGUUUGCACAAAAAUUUGGCAUCAAGAGCACGAGUUAAAUCACACACAGAUCACUUAAAUUAGCACAAAUGGUCUAUCCUCAUCAUCUAUUUGCCAGCUCACUUCCCUGACAAGCAAUGAUGGUCUCAACCAAAUACUGUAGAGACUCCUAAACUCCCCUCAGCUUGCAAAACCAAAAACUGAAUUCAGAGUAUGUGAAAGAGAGAUGUUGUAAACAUGCUUAUGACAAGAUCUGGAAAUUACUAAGUAUGCUAUUUUUCAACAUAUAUGUGCUAAGCAUCAUGAAGGCCAGGAUACCUCCAUCUUCUGUCAUUAACAAUAUGAAUUGGUUAUCUCCAAGGGAAGUAUUCAAUUUGAGUCACAUUUUCAGGAAACAUCUCGAAAGACUGGAAGGUAAGAGCUUAUAUGCCAGUAGUCACAUUUUGAGAUUGUCUGCAUUGUGUUAGUGGGUCCUAGAUAGAUGAGAAAGUCCAACAGAAACAGAGGACAAAACUGAAUGGUCAGCAUUUCAUUUUGUUGCAUUAUUUUAAAGUUAGUGGUUAUACAAAACCAAGAGCACACUGUAUAUACAGUAUGUUAGCCAACUUGACAACAAAUUAUAUUAAAAAAUAAAUAAAAAAAUAAAGUUAGUGGUUAUAGAUUCAGUCAUACAAAUUUAGUAUAACAGAGGUUUACAAAGGAAUUGUAAUUUAAAUACAAUGCAUUAUGUGACAUAUUUAAGUAAAUUGCACUUUGAAAAGAGAAAAGGUGUUUUUUAAAAUGUACUCAGAGGUGGAGUAUGUUUUUCAUUGUAUAUGAUAUUGCUAUAAAUGAUAUCUGCUGAUAGUAGCCUUGAUCACUUGGUUAAGAUGGUUUCUUCAGUGUUUUUCUACUAGAAAAUCACUAUUUUCUCCUUUCCGUAUUCUAUUCUCUGGGACAUGGUAAGUCCUCUCCAUACUUAAGAGAAAGGAAAUGAAUUUCCCACCUCCUAGAAGGCACAUAUCUACACAUGCUAUUUGAAUUUUUUUUAACUUUUAUUUAUUUUUGGGAGACACAGAGAGACAGAGCAUGAGCAGGGGAGGGGCAGAGAGAGAGGGAGACACAGAAUCUGAAGCAGGCUCCAGGCUCUGAGCUGUCAGCACAGAGACCGACAUGGGGCUCGAACCCAUGAACUGUGAGAUCAUGACCUGAGCUGAAGUUGGACGCUUAACUGACUGAGCCACCAGGCUCCCUUGCAAUUCUUCUGUAAGGAAGAUUUGUCCCUUCUCCUCAUUUAUUUAAUAUUUUGUUUUUAUUGGCACAGAAUGAUGGAUAUUUAUUUUAUUCUUUGAGUUAUAAUUUAAUAUUAUGUAUUUGUUAGGAAAAUUGUCCCGUAUUUUAAUUGUUUCAGUUGUUACACAUUUUGCUUGGAAAAUUGUUCCAGCCAUGGCUAUUGGGAGUUUUUUCAUAUUGAUUCAUGUGUCUUUUUAAUAUACAUGGGAUCAUCUUGUGUUUUAACUGCCCUUGCCCUGUAUACAGCCCUUUUCCAAAAGAGUUCUGAUUUCUUUUAUUAGAUAAUGGUGUUUAGAAACCAAGAUCUGGGCACUAGGUGUGCUCAUUGUUAUCAGGGUGUCAAUGCCUCUAGGUCUGCUUAGGAGACAGAGCCAGUAAACAAACAAACAAACUAAUUUAAUAAAUAAUACAAACACAUAUUUAUAUAUGCAUAUUUAUUUAUAUAUACAUACAUAUGCUAAUCUUUGUAUAUAAGCAUAUCUAUUUGUGCAUCUGGGCAUCUGAAUAUAUAUUAAAAUAAACAUGAAUUCAUACUGCACUCAUAUAUCUCUGACCACAGAUACAAUGUGGUCUUUCUCCCCCUUGCUUAUGCAGGGGUAUUGGAUGAGUUCAUGGGUGGUACUGAGAGGCCCUGAUAGGGCCUAGGAACAAGCAAUUGAUCCUUGACCCAUUUGGCACCUUCUCCUGAUGCAAAAGCCUGGGCAUGUGGCUAAAAUCAGGGUGGGGUGCCCAAGUGGCUCAGUGGGUUAAGUGUCCGACUUCAACCUAGGUCAUGAUCUCACUGUUCCCAAGUUCAAGCCCUGUGUUGGGCUCUGUGUGGACAGCUUAGAGCCUGGAGCCUGUUUCAGAUUUUGUGUCUCCUCCUCUCUCUCUGCCCCUCCCUCACUCACGCUCUGUCUCUCUCUCUCAAAAGUAAACAUUAAAAUAAAUAAAUGGCACCUGGGUGGCUUGGUUGGUUAAGCGUCCGACUUCGGCUUAGGUCAUGAUCUCAUGGUCCAUGAGUUCGAGCCCCGUGUCGGGCUCUGUGCUGACAGCUCAGAGCCUGGAGCCUGUUUCAGAUUCUGUGUCUCCCUCUGUCUCUGCUCCUCCCCUGUUCAUGCUCUGUCUCUCUCUGUCUCAAAAAUAAACAAACGUUAAAAAAAAAUUAAAAAAUAAAUAAAUAAAUAUCAGGGCUCAUGGCCUAAAGAAGAUUAAAUGUUAUAUAUUAGAGGCAUGGCAAUAGGCCCCUGAUUGGCAAGUAAGGUCCAGCCAAGUGUCUGCCUGAACUUGGGAAUUUGCAGAGAAUGGAGAGAGAGUGGUCAUUGUAAGGUGAGGAUGUAGGGACAUGGCUAUGUACAAGAAAAUUCAUGGCCGACUUUGAAGGACAUUGGGGGAAAGUGACUAUAGGGACUAAUCUCUGAGCAAUUUUGUGACAUCUUACAGAGUUCUUUCAUAUUGCAGGACCUUUCCAGGGCCAAAGAAGUAGUCACAAGAAAAUAUUGGUUUCCUUUUAGGAAAUGAGGAUGAUUUCAGUACAUUGUUAAUUUGCAUUAUCAUAACAUUAAAACCAUGAUUAAUACUACACUGGUGAAUCUUGUUCCUUUUUAAUCUAUAUGAAACUAGGAUAGUUGUGAUGUGCCAUUGAUAUCAUUUUUUGCUUUUACAUUAACAAUAUGACUGAAAUUAAUACUGCAAUUAGGAAUGAAGAGAUAGUUCAAAACUAGGAGAAUAAAUUCAUAUUUUUAUGAGUAUGCUGAGGCUUGAAAGAGGUAGAUCCUUGGGGUGCCUGGGUGGCUCAGUUAGUUGAGUGUGCAAUUUUGGCUGAGGUCAUGAUCUCAUGGUUGGUGGGUUUGAGGCCCACACUGGGCUUUGCGCUGACAGUGUGGAGCCUGCUUCAGAUUCUCUGUCUCCCUCUCUCUCUCUGCUCUUCCCCAAUCACACUCUCUCUUGAAAAUAAAUAAACAUUAAAAAAAGGGUUAGAUAAUUAUUUAUUAAAGUAGUGUUCAUUAUUGCCAGUGUGAGUAAUAAUAACUACUAACCAUGAAAUAUACAAUACAAGUCCAAUUGAUUGAGUGCUUACUUGGUAUCAGGUAAUACUUCAAGUACAUUUCAUGUUUUUAACAUUUAAUCUUGGCAGUGGUCCUGUAUGGAAAGUUCUGUAAUUAUUUACAUUUAACAGUUGAGGGUUCUAAGGAGUGAGCUGUUGAACGAGCUGUCCUGAGGUCCUACAGCCAGAAAUUAAUGCAAUUUGGAUUUUAACCCAAGUACCUUGAGUUUAGGUACUGUUAAGUUAAAAUUUGUCUCUCAUGAUGAUUAAAGGAAUACUUACCACAAACCGCUAAUAUUAUUUAUCCACAUUCUGUAAUAUUAUCAUGUUAUAUCAGUAAAGACAGAAGAACUGUAUGAAAGUCUUUUCCUAAAUCCUUCAUUGGUAUCCAGGCUCCUACCUGGCUCCCAACUUCCUGGUGGUCUCUGUAUCCUCCUGGCUAUCAUGGCCAUGCCUGGGCAAGUCUACUCUUGUACGCUAUUAUACCACUGGAUUGUUUACUUAGAAGUUGGUGAGUCUGUAAAGAAUGCAGAGUCCCUGCCUAUGGUAUUUCACCAUUUGGUUGUAAGGGGUAAGAAUUCUCCCUGCUGUGGUGGUUGAGUGGGGGGAUAGGGCAUGUGGGUGCCAUGGGGCUACAUAUUUUGUCUUUCUGAGACUUGGCUGGAGACACAUGAAUACAUAACCAUGAGAGGGUCCAUGUAUACUCUUUUCCAAUCUCUCAAUCAAGAUGGCUUUAUUCUAGGGACUCACCAUUUCAACAGGAAAAUGCAACUCUAUGAAAUCACAUUACCAGGUUCACCCUACCAUCUCCUCUCCAUACACAUCUCCCUAUGAGAACAGAGGAUUCUCCAUCCUGCUGUGAGAGAAUGUGCAGUAUGUGGGGGUCAGACAGGUCCUGGUCAAAUACCAACACUGCAGCCUCCCAUCCCACACAUAUUCCUGCGUCUGCAUCAUUUUUCCUCUUUCCUCCACAGAUGAUCAAGUCUCCUGAGGAGAAAUUUCAAUAUACCUACACAUCUGAUGAGAAAAAGUACCAUGGUGAAAAAAUACAUUCAUGAGUGAGUAUUUUCUAGCAAAAAAAUACUCCAUUUAGAAUGAGCUCAUAUACCCCAGCACUUUGUUUUCUCUGACCGCCAACAUGAACCCUCAAUUUUGGCCAACAGACCAGAAACACAGUCAUUGUCUCUCCUUAAUAAUUUAGGACAUUGUGCUCCCAGGACUGCCCAUCCAGGGCUGAUCUGCUUCCUUGCCCAGGGUAUCCUGAAGCCCCAGGGCUGGAUUCACUCAAACUACAGAGGGAACACAGUGUGCUGACACUCCAAGUUUGACUUCUUUCUUCAUGAAUGGCUUUGAGUAACAAUAAAUUAAAAUUGAAUAGAUGUAGCAUGCAAUAUGGGAAUGUACAACUAGGAGCAGAAAGAAAGCAUCUUGGUGUCUACAAGGCAGAAGCUAAUUCUACCAUGAGUGAUCCACCAAAUGUUCUUUCAGCCCAGGAGCUAUUGCUUUCUCUCUCCUGCUGUACCUUGCUCCGUCUCCCUCUUCUUCUUCCCUUUUUUUUUUUUUUUUGUUCUCCUUCUAUCUUCAUUGCCUUUACUUAUUCCUUGUUUUAUUUCUGUUUUUGCCCAUUCUUUAUAUUUGGUGUACCUCUUUGUCUUCUCUUUUCCCUAUCAUCACUACCUGCACCAAGCCUUUUUCUUUACUCACAAAAUUUGACCCCCUGAUGGACAAAGACAGACCCAGAGUUGU
Molecule: long non-coding RNA, 15105 nt
Filed under: Lynx pardinus (Iberian lynx)
Lineage: Eukaryota; Metazoa; Chordata; Mammalia; Carnivora; Felidae
Source: RNAcentral